Non-coding RNA from Vicugna pacos (alpaca), 865 nucleotides. The record is from RefSeq and is a predicted model, not a curated record. NCBI's taxonomy places the organism in Eukaryota, Metazoa, Chordata, Mammalia, Artiodactyla, Camelidae.
AGAUAGAUAAUACAUAAAUAGAUAGAUACAUAGAUAGAUACAUAGAUAGGCAGGCAAGUAGAGAGACAUACUAGUUGCCUCCUCCUCCAUUGGAUAAACAGACAGUCACACACAUAGACUAGCUUCUCCCAUCCUCCAAUAGAUAGGCAGGCAGGCAGGCAGACAGACAGACACACUAGAGGCGGGGUGCCACUGGGGACGUGGUUCGGCGCUGGCUACAGGGGAAUAGGGUGCCCCUGGCCAGCCAGAGGAUUUUCUUUCAUGUCCCUAGCUGCCUUGCCAGGGGGCGGCCUCCGCUCCCCCAAGUUUGCUGGACUCAAGCCUUUGAAGUCAGCCUGCUCCUGGGAGCAGGCAUGGUGAGGUCAGGGGAAGAGGUUGACGGCAGAGGCGGAGGCGGCACAUCAGCAAAGGGGGUUGCCUCGGCGAGUUGGUCAUCAAAGUCAUUUUAUUAAAAACAAAAAUUACAGCCAUUAUUGUAACUUAACCAAGUAGCUAACAUUUCAUGUUUUCUUUCAAAAAGGCAGAAUUAAAAUGCUAUAUUAAUGCUAUCAAUAUUUUGUCUACCACUUCAGCAAAAACUCAAAAUAAAACAUAAGAGUGAAGAGGAAGAAGAGGUGAGAGCCCUGGGACCUUGGUUAUGUUACUCUUUGAGACCAUCUGCAUUGUAAGGGUUCUACCACCUUCCUGACAGGACUGCUAUGACUAUUACAGACAAUGGAGGAAAAGCACAAGCAAUAUGGUAGAAGUUCAAGACAUGGUGGCUGUUAUUUCUUGAGGAAGACAUUCCAAAAAUGGUUCUAUAAUCAUUAACAACAUAGUACCUCACUUCUAAUUUCUGAGCUGUAUUAGAAACGAUUAAAGUUAA